CCUACGGGAGGCAGCAGUGAGGAAUAUUGGUCAAUGGGCGCAAGCCUGAACCAGCCAAGUAGCGUGAAGGAUGACUGCCCUACGGGUUGUAAACUUCUUUUAUCAAGGACUAUAGUGCGGCACGUGUGCCUUUUUGUAUGUACUUUAUGAAUAAGGAUCGGCUAACUCCGUUCCAGCGGCCGCGGUAAUACGGAGGAUCCGAGCGUUAUCCGGAUUUAUUGGGUUUAAAGGGGGCGUAGAUGGGUUGUUAGGUAAGUUGUGAAAGUUUGCGGCUCAACCGUAAAAUUGCAAUUGAUACUGGCAGGCUUGAGUACAGUUGAGGUAGGCGGAAUUCGUGGUGUAGCGGUGAAAUGCUUAGAUAUCACGAAGAACCCCGAUUGCGAAGGCAGCUUACGAAACUGCGACUGACAUUGAUGCUCGAAAGUGUGGGUAUCAAACAGGAUUAGAUACCCCAGUAGUC
RNAcentral lists this ribosomal RNA (460 nucleotides) under uncultured bacterium. Its description in RNAcentral is "partial 16S ribosomal RNA". It matches the Rfam family "Bacterial small subunit ribosomal RNA", at positions 338 to 795 of the family's 1533-position model. The record is from RNAcentral.